Molecule: ribosomal RNA, 248 nt
Filed under: uncultured Actinomycetales bacterium
Lineage: Bacteria; Bacillati; Actinomycetota; Actinomycetes; Actinomycetales
Description: partial 16S ribosomal RNA
Rfam family: Bacterial small subunit ribosomal RNA
Source: RNAcentral
GGGUGCUCGAGUGGCGAACGGGUGAGUAACACGUGAGUAACCUGCCCUUGACUUUGGGAUAACUUCAGGAAACUGGGGCUAAUACCGGAUAGGAGCUCCUGCUGCAUGGUGGGGGUUGGAAAGUUUCGGCGGUUGGGGAUGGACUCGCGGCUUACCAGCUUGUUGGUGGGGUAGUGGCUUACCAAGGCUUUGACGGGUAGCCGGCCUGAGAGGGUGACCGGCCACAUUGGGACUGAGAUACGGCCCAG